Molecule: ribosomal RNA, 739 nt
Filed under: Polyporus cf. pseudobetulinus WD1872
Lineage: Eukaryota; Fungi; Basidiomycota; Agaricomycetes; Polyporales; Polyporaceae
Also listed under: 1 other name
Description: eukaryotic LSU rRNA
Rfam family: Eukaryotic large subunit ribosomal RNA
Source: RNAcentral
GUUGUAGUCUGGAGAAGUGCUUUCCGUGCUGGACCGUGUACAAGUCUCUUGGAAUAGAGCGUCAUAGAGGGUGAGAAUCCCGUCUUUGACACGGACUACCAGUGCUUUGUGAUGCGCUCUCAAAGAGUCGAGUUGUUUGGGAAUGCAGCUCAAAAUGGGUGGUAAAUUCCAUCUAAAGCUAAAUAUUGGCGAGAGACCGAUAGCGAACAAGUACCGUGAGGGAAAGAUGAAAAGCACUUUGGAAAGAGAGUUAAACAGUACGUGAAAUUGCUGAAAGGGAAACGCUUGAAGUCAGUCGCGUCGUUUGGAACUCAGCCUUGCUUUUGCUUGGUGCACUUUCUGAAUGACGGGCCAGCAUCAAUUUCGACCGUUGGAAAAAGGUUGGGGGAAUGUGGCACCUUCGGGUGUGUUAUAGCCUCUGGUCACAUACGACGGUUGGGAUUGAGGACCGCAGCACGCCGCAAGGCAGGGGAUAUACCCACUUUCGUGCUUAGGAUGCUGGCAUAAUGGCUUUAAACGACCCGUCUUGAAACACGGACCAAGGAGUCUAACAUGCCUGCGAGUGUUUGGGUGGAAAACCCGAGCGCGUAAUGAAAGUGAAAGUUGAGACCUCUGUUGUGGAGGGCAUCGACGCCCGGACCUGACGUUCUCUGAAGGAUCCGCGGUAGAGCAUGUAUGUUGGGACCCGAAAGAUGGUGAACUAUGCCUGAAUAGGGUGAAGCCAGAGGAAACUCUGGUG